Molecule: ribosomal RNA, 207 nt
Filed under: uncultured bacterium
Lineage: Bacteria
Description: partial 16S ribosomal RNA
Rfam family: Bacterial small subunit ribosomal RNA
Source: RNAcentral
GACAGAGGGUGCAAACGUUGCUCGGAAUUACUGGGCGUAAAGGGCGUGUAGGCGGGAAGGCAAGUCGGGCGUGAAAGCCCCAGGCUCAACCUGGGAACUGCACUCGAAACUGCCUUUCUUGAGUGCCGGAGAGGAAAGCGGAAUUCCGUGGUGUAGAGGUGAAAUUCGUAGAUAAUCAGGAGGAACACCAGUGGCGAAAGGCGGCUU